RNAcentral lists this ribosomal RNA (301 nucleotides) under uncultured bacterium. RNAcentral's name for it is "partial 16S ribosomal RNA". It matches the Rfam family "Bacterial small subunit ribosomal RNA", at positions 509 to 809 of the family's 1533-position model. The record is from RNAcentral.
CAGCACGCGGUAAUACGUAGGUGGCAAGCGUUGUCCGGAAUUAUUGGGCGUAAAGGGCUCGCAGGCGGUUUCUUAAGUCUGAUGUGAAAGCCCCCGGCUCAACCGGGGAGGGUCAUUGGAAACUGGGAAACUUGAGUGCAGAAGAGGAGAGUGGAAUUCCACGUGUAGCGGUGAAAUGCGUAGAGAUGUGGAGGAACACCAGUGGCGAAGGCGACUCUCUGGUCUGUAACUGACGCUGAGGAGCGAAAGCGUGGGGAGCGAACAGGAUUAGAUACCCCCGUAGUCCAUGUCUCUUAUACAC